This 1343-nucleotide ribosomal RNA is filed under the name uncultured bacterium. Its description in RNAcentral is "16S ribosomal RNA". It matches the Rfam family "Bacterial small subunit ribosomal RNA", at positions 28 to 1378 of the family's 1533-position model. The record is from RNAcentral.
GACGAACGCUGGCGGCGUGCUUAACACAUGCAAGUCGAACGGAAAGGCCCUGCUUUUGUGGGGUGCUCGAGUGGCGAACGGGUGAGUAACACGUGAGUAACCUGCCCUUGACUUUGGGAUAACUUCAGGAAACUGGGGCUAAUACCGGAUAGGAGCUCCUGCUGCAUGGUGGGGGUUGGAAAGUUUCGGCGGUUGGGGAUGGACUCGCGGCUUAUCAGCUUGUUGGUGGGGUAGUGGCUUACCAAGGCUUUGACGGGUAGCCGGCCUGAGAGGGUGACCGGCCACAUUGGGACUGAGAUACGGCCCAGACUCCUACGGGAGGCAGCAGUGGGGAAUAUUGCACAAUGGGCGGAAGCCUGAUGCAGCAACGCCGCGUGCGGGAUGACGGCCUUCGGGUUGUAAACCGCUUUCGCCUGUGACGAAGCGUGAGUGACGGUAAUGGGUAAAGAAGCACCGGCUAACUACGUGCCAGCAGCCGCGGUGAUACGUAGGGUGCGAGCGUUGUCCGGAUUUAUUGGGCGUAAAGGGCUCGUAGGUGGUUGAUCGCGUCGGAAGUGUAAUCUUGGGGCUUAACCCUGAGCGUGCUUUCGAUACGGGUUGACUUGAGGAAGGUAGGGGAGAAUGGAAUUCCUGGUGGAGCGGUGGAAUGCGCAGAUAUCAGGAGGAACACCAGUGGCGAAGGCGGUUCUCUGGGCCUUUCCUGACGCUGAGGAGCGAAAGCGUGGGGAGCGAACAGGCUUAGAUACCCUGGUAGUCCACGCUGUAAACGGUGGGUACUAGGUGUGGGGUCCAUUCCACGGGUUCCGUGCCGUAGCUAACGCUUUAAGUACCCUGCCUGGGGAGUACGGCCGCAAGGCUAAAACUCAAAGGAAUUGACGGGGCCCCGCACAAGCGGCGGAGCAUGCGGAUUAAUUCGAUGCAACGCGUAGAACCUUACCUGGGUUUGACAUGGAUCGGGAGUGCUCAGAGAUGGGUGUGCCUCUUUUGGGGUCGGUUCACAGGUGGUGCAUGGCUGUCGUCAGCUCGUGUCGUGAGAUGUUGGGUUAAGUCCCGCAACGAGCGCAACCCUUGUUCACUGUUGCCAGCACGUUAUGGUGGGGACUCAGUGGAGACCGCCGGGGUCAACUCGGAGGAAGGUGGGGAUGACGUCAAGUCAUCAUGCCCCUUAUGUCCAGGGCUUCACGCAUGCUACAAUGGCUGGUACAGGGAGUGGCGAGCCUGUGAGGGUGAGCGAAUCUCGGAAAGCCGGUCUCAGUUCGGAUUGGGGUCUGCAACUCGACCUCAUGAAGUCGGAGUCGCUAGUAAUCGCAGAUCAGCAACGCUGCGGUGAAUACGUUCCCGGG